GAGUUUUUGAUGUCGCAGAUACUGCAUCAGGAACUGAUUGGAUAAUAAUGAGUCACCAUCAGUUCCUAAUGCAUUGCCUUCAGCAUCUAAACA
Molecule: microRNA precursor, 93 nt
Organism: Cuculus canorus (common cuckoo)
Lineage: Eukaryota; Metazoa; Chordata; Aves; Cuculiformes; Cuculidae
Rfam family: mir-217 microRNA precursor family
Source: Rfam